This is a non-coding RNA of Acanthosepion pharaonis, 107 nucleotides long. Lineage: Eukaryota; Metazoa; Mollusca; Cephalopoda; Sepiida; Sepiidae. The record is from the annotation of a GenBank genome assembly.
AUGGCCAUAUCUUAUUGAAACACCAGUUCUCAUAUGAUUGCUGAAGUUAAGCAACAUUGAACCUGAUCAGUACCUAGAUGGGUGACCCCUUGGGAAUACCAAUUGCU